This is a non-coding RNA of Dipodomys ordii (Ord's kangaroo rat), 70 nucleotides long. The record is from Rfam. Lineage: Eukaryota; Metazoa; Chordata; Mammalia; Rodentia; Heteromyidae.
GGUAAUGUGGCUUAGUGGUAGAGUGCUUGCCUAGCAUACAUGAAGCCCUGGGUUUGAGUCCUCAGUACCA